Molecule: ribosomal RNA, 2925 nt
Filed under: Klebsiella pneumoniae
Lineage: Bacteria; Pseudomonadati; Pseudomonadota; Gammaproteobacteria; Enterobacterales; Enterobacteriaceae
Description: bacterial LSU rRNA
Rfam family: Bacterial large subunit ribosomal RNA
Source: RNAcentral
GGGUUGUGAGGUUAAGCGACUAAGCGUACACGGUGGAUGCCCUGGCAGUCAGAGGCGAUGAAGGACGUGCUAAUCUGCGAAAAGCGUCGGUAAGGUGAUAUGAACCGUUACAGCCGGCGAUGUCCGAAUGGGGAAACCCAGUGCAAUUCGUUGCACUAUCGUUAACUGAAUACAUAGGUUAACGAGGCGAACCGGGGGAACUGAAACAUCUAAGUACCCCGAGGAAAAGAAAUCAACCGAGAUUCCCCCAGUAGCGGCGAGCGAACGGGGAGCAGCCCAGAGUCUGAAUCAGCUUGUGUGUUAGUGGAACGGUCUGGAAAGUCCGACGGUACAGGGUGAUAGUCCCGUACACCAAAAUGCACAGGCUGUGAACUCGAAGAGUAGGGCGGGACACGUGGUAUCCUGUCUGAAUAUGGGGGGGACCAUCCUCCAAGGCUAAAUACUCCUGACUGACCGAUAGUGAACCAGUACCGUGAGGGAAAGGCGAAAAGAACCCCGGCGAGGGGAGUGAAAAAGAACCUGAAACCGUGUACGUACAAGCAGUGGGAGCACCUUCGGGUGUGACUGCGUACCUUUUGUAUAAUGGGUCAGCGACUUAUAUUCUGUAGCAAGGUUAACCGUAUAGGGGAGCCGCAGGGAAACCGAGUCUUAACUGGGCGUUAAGUUGCAGGGUAUAGACCCGAAACCCGGUGAUCUAGCCAUGGGCAGGUUGAAGGUUGGGUAACACUAACUGGAGGACCGAACCGACUAAUGUUGAAAAAUUAGCGGAUGACUUGUGGCUGGGGGUGAAAGGCCAAUCAAACCGGGAGAUAGCUGGUUCUCCCCGAAAGCUAUUUAGGUAGCGCCUCGUGAAUUCAUCUUCGGGGGUAGAGCACUGUUUCGGCUAGGGGGUCAUCCCGACUUACCAACCCGAUGCAAACUACGAAUACCGAAGAAUGUUAUCACGGGAGACACACGGCGGGUGCUAACGUCCGUCGUGAAGAGGGAAACAACCCAGACCGCCAGCUAAGGUCCCAAAGUCAUGGUUAAGUGGGAAACGAUGUGGGAAGGCACAGACAGCCAGGAUGUUGGCUUAGAAGCAGCCAUCAUUUAAAGAAAGCGUAAUAGCUCACUGGUCGAGUCGGCCUGCGCGGAAGAUGUAACGGGGCUAAACCAUGCACCGAAGCUGCGGCAGCGACACUAUGUGUUGUUGGGUAGGGGAGCGUUCUGUAAGCCUGCGAAGGUGACCUGUGAGGGUUGCUGGAGGUAUCAGAAGUGCGAAUGCUGACAUAAGUAACGAUAAAGCGGGUGAAAAGCCCGCUCGCCGGAAGACCAAGGGUUCCUGUCCAACGUUAAUCGGGGCAGGGUGAGUCGACCCCUAAGGCGAGGCCGAAAGGCGUAGUCGAUGGGAAACAGGUUAAUAUUCCUGUACUUGGUGUUACUGCGAAGGGGGGACGGAGAAGGCUAUGUUAGCCGGGCGACGGUUGUCCCGGUUUAAGCAUGUAGGCUGGUUGUCCAGGCAAAUCCGGAUAAUCAAGGCUGAGGUGUGAUGACGAGGCACUACGGUGCUGAAGUAACAAAUGCCCUGCUUCCAGGAAAAGCCUCUAAGCAUCAGGUAACAUCAAAUCGUACCCCAAACCGACACAGGUGGUCAGGUAGAGAAUACCAAGGCGCUUGAGAGAACUCGGGUGAAGGAACUAGGCAAAAUGGUGCCGUAACUUCGGGAGAAGGCACGCUGGUGUGUAGGUGAAGUCCCUGCGGAUGGAGCUGAGACCAGUCGAAGAUACCAGCUGGCUGCAACUGUUUAUUAAAAACACAGCACUGUGCAAACACGAAAGUGGACGUAUACGGUGUGACGCCUGCCCGGUGCCGGAAGGUUAAUUGAUGGGGUUAUCCGUAAGGAGAAGCUCUUGAUCGAAGCCCCGGUAAACGGCGGCCGUAACUAUAACGGUCCUAAGGUAGCGAAAUUCCUUGUCGGGUAAGUUCCGACCUGCACGAAUGGCGUAAUGAUGGCCAGGCUGUCUCCACCCGAGACUCAGUGAAAUUGAACUCGCUGUGAAGAUGCAGUGUACCCGCGGCAAGACGGAAAGACCCCGUGAACCUUUACUAUAGCUUGACACUGAACAUUGAGCCUUGAUGUGUAGGAUAGGUGGGAGGCUUUGAAGCGUGGACGCCAGUCUGCGUGGAGCCAACCUUGAAAUACCACCCUUUAAUGUUUGAUGUUCUAACGUUGGCCCCUUACCGGGGUUGCGGACAGUGUCUGGUGGGUAGUUUGACUGGGGCGGUCUCCUCCCAAAGCGUAACGGAGGAGCACGAAGGUUAGCUAAUCCUGGUCGGACAUCAGGAGGUUAGUGCAAUGGCAUAAGCUAGCUUGACUGCGAGCGUGACGGCGCGAGCAGGUGCGAAAGCAGGUCAUAGUGAUCCGGUGGUUCUGAAUGGAAGGGCCAUCGCUCAACGGAUAAAAGGUACUCCGGGGAUAACAGGCUGAUACCGCCCAAGAGUUCAUAUCGACGGCGGUGUUUGGCACCUCGAUGUCGGCUCAUCACAUCCUGGGGCUGAAGUAGGUCCCAAGGGUAUGGCUGUUCGCCAUUUAAAGUGGUACGCGAGCUGGGUUUAGAACGUCGUGAGACAGUUCGGUCCCUAUCUGCCGUGGGCGCUGGAGAAUUGAGGGGGGGCUGCUCCUAGUACGAGAGGACCGGAGUGGACGCAUCACUGGUGUUCGGGUUGUCAUGCCAAUGGCACUGCCCGGUAGCUAAAUGCGGAAGAGAUAAGUGCUGAAAGCAUCUAAGCACGAAACUUGCCCCGAGAUGAGUUCUCCCUGAGACUUUAAGUCUCCUGAAGGAACGUUAAAGACGAUGACGUUGAUAGGCCGGGUGUGUAAGCGCAGCGAUGCGUUGAGCUAACCGGUACUAAUGAACCGUGAGGCUUAACCUUACAACGCCGAAG